This 528-nucleotide unclassified non-coding RNA is filed under the name Hevea brasiliensis (rubber tree). The record is from RNAcentral. Lineage: Eukaryota; Viridiplantae; Streptophyta; Magnoliopsida; Malpighiales; Euphorbiaceae.
UAUAUCCGGUCAACAAUUUCAUUAAUCCUCCUUUCCAACUUGCUAAUUUCUGCGUUUCUCUUAUCAAUCCCAUUUUUUAACUUCUGAAGUUCAGGACUUAUUCGAUCAAUUUCUUCUUUUAUAAUUUCUCUCUCUUGCCUCAAGCUUGCAAGUUUGUCUUCAAUACUUCGCUUCUCAAUCUCCGCAUACUGAAUCUUUUUCUCAAGUCCACUAAUCCUCCCAGAUGCUUCAGACUCCUUUAGUUGCAUCUCCCUGAUUGAUCCAAGUUCAUCUAGCUCUGCUUCAUACUGCUCUUUCUUUUUCUUAAGCCCUUCAAUCUUUUUAUCGUCCCAUUUGUUUGACCUUGCUUCCAUGCCACCACUAAUACCCCCAGUCAUUGUGCCAGAUUUCGUAAGCAGAAUACCAUCAACAGUAACAACUUUAUGUCUUUCUCCACUCCAGCUUAGAGCCUUGGCUUCAUCAAGAUUGUCACAAACUAGCGUAUUCCCCACAGCAAAUAUAAUUGCCUUCUCCAAUGUCGAAUCAAAA